CUCUGAGUCUCUAAAUACUACCAGAAUGACUUUGGGACAGUCACUUAACACUUCAAGACUUCUGGACCUCAGUUUGCUCUUCUGUAAAAUGAGAGGGUUGGACUAGAUAAAUAUUGAGGAUCUCUUCAACUCUAAAUUAACCAUGCAAUGAUCCUAUUUUCCUCCCCAGGGUAAACCCUGUAAUUGAAAAUCUUAUCAAAGAAAGUAAGCUGUGGAGCAUCUUGAAAUCUGGUCUUAACUUGAUCACACAGUUUUCAACUAUACCACAUAUAAGUCCUAACUUGAGGGAGACUUCAGUAAAAGUAAAGACUUGUAAAAAAAGACAAGUUGGGCAGCUGGGUAGCUUAGUGCACAGGACUGAGCCAAGCCUACAGGUGGAAGGACCUGAGUUCAGACCUCAGUUACUUCCUAGCUGUGUGACUGUGGACAAGUUAUUUAAACCCCAUUGCCUAACCUUUACCAUUCUUCUUCUGCCUUGGAACCAAGAUUUAGUAUUGAUUUCAAGAUGGAAGACCCAAGAUUCAUUGGGAGAGAGGACAUUCCCUCCACCAAAUGCAGAUCGUCCACUACAGAGCUGGAGUUCCUUUGAGCACUGGAAGGUUGAGAUACCUCCUCAUGGUCACACAGCUAGCAUGGGUCCAAGUAAGAGUCUGAAUCCAGCUCUUCCUGGUUCCAAGGUCAGCUUUUCAAUUCAAUUUAAUUCAAUAAAUAUUUAGUGUGUCUGUUAUGUACUCAGCACUGUGCUGAGUGCUCUGGAUAAAAAUGGGAAGGAGAAAGAUAUUACUUGCCUUCAAAAAGUUUCCAAUCUAAAUAAAGGGGGAGACAACUCACA
Long non-coding RNA from Monodelphis domestica (gray short-tailed opossum), 832 nucleotides. The record is from Ensembl. NCBI's taxonomy places the organism in Eukaryota, Metazoa, Chordata, Mammalia, Didelphimorphia, Didelphidae.